This 468-nucleotide ribosomal RNA is filed under the name uncultured bacterium. RNAcentral describes it as "partial 16S ribosomal RNA". It matches the Rfam family "Bacterial small subunit ribosomal RNA", at positions 28 to 508 of the family's 1533-position model. The record is from RNAcentral.
GACGAACGCUGGCGGCGUGCUUAACACAUGCAAGUCGAACGGAAAGGCCCUGCUUUUGUGGGGUGCUCGAGUGGCGAACGGGUGAGUAACACGUGAGUAACCUGCCCUUGACUUUGGGAUAACUUCAGGAAACUGGGGCUAAUACCGGAUAGGAGCUCCUGCUGCAUGGUGGGGGUUGGAAAGUUUCGGCGGUUGGGGAUGGACUCGCGGCUUAUCAGCUUGUUGGUGGGGUAGUGGCUUACCAAGGCUUUGACGGGUAGCCGGCCUGAGAGGGUGACCGGCCACAUGGGGAAGGAGAUCCGCCCAAGCCCCCGGGGGGAGGAAGCGGUGGGAAAUAUGGAACAGGGGGCGGAACCCUGAUGCAGCAACGCCGGGUGGGGGAUGGCGGCCUUGGGUUUUAAACCCGCUUGCGCCUGGGACGAAGGGGGAGGGAGGGUAAGGGGUAAAAAGCCACGGGCAAAGUAGGGC